RNAcentral lists this ribosomal RNA (549 nucleotides) under uncultured bacterium. RNAcentral's name for it is "bacterial SSU rRNA". It matches the Rfam family "Bacterial small subunit ribosomal RNA", at positions 356 to 896 of the family's 1533-position model. The record is from RNAcentral.
AGGGAAUCUUCCGCAAUGGGCGAAAGCCUGACGGAGCAACGCCGCGUGAGUGAUGAAGGUCUUCGGAUCGUAAAACUCUGUUAUUAGGGAAGAACAUAUGUGUAAGUAACUGUGCACAUCUUGACGGUACCUAAUCAGAAAGCCACGGCUAACUACGUGCCAGCAGCCGCGGUAAUACGUAGGUGGCAAGCGUUAUCCGGAAUUAUUGGGCGUAAAGCGCGCGUAGGCGGUUUUUUAAGUCUGAUGUGAAUGCCCACGGCUCAACCGUGGAGGGUCAUUGGAAACCGGAAAACUUGAGUGCAGAAGAGGAAAGUGGAAUUCCAUGUGUAGCGGUGAAAUGCGCAGAGAUAUGGAGGAACACCAGUGGCGAAGGCGACUUUCUGGUCUGUAACUGACGCUGAUGUGCGAAAGCGUGGGGAUCAAACAGGAUUAGAUACCCUGGUAGUCCACGCCGUAAACGAUGAGUGCUAAGUGUUAGGGGGUUUCCGCCCCUUAGUGCUGCAGCUAACGCAUUAAGCACUCCGCCUGGGGAGUACGACCGCAAGGUUG